GAGGGUGUUUGGUAAGUGCGUGGUGAGCGAGUGCAGGAACAGCUCUCUGAAGUUCUUCACAGUGUGAGACUUGGAGGACACCUGCUUUGGGGGAUUUCUUUUCUGUUCUGCCAAAAUGGAGCUGAGUGAUGCCAAUUUACAGACUUUAACUGAGUAUCUAAAGAAAACACUAGAUCCAGAUCCUGCUAUAAGGCGUCCUGCGGAAAAGUUUCUUGAGUCAGUUGAAGGAAGCCAGAAUUAUCCGUUGUUACUCUUAACACUGCUGGAGAAAUCACAGGAAAAUGUCAUCAAAGUUUGUGCAUCUGUAACGUUCAAGAACUAUAUUAAAAGGAACUGGAGAAUUGUUGAGGAUGAACCAAACAAAAUAUGCGAAUCGGACAGGAUAGCCAUUAAAGCCAACAUAGUGCCCUUGAUGCUUAGCAGCCCAGAACAAAUUCAAAAGCAGUUAAGUGAUGCUAUUAGUAUUAUUGGUCGGGAAGACUUUCCUCAGAAAUGGCCAGACUUACUGACAGAAAUGGUGAAUCGCUUUCAAAGUGGAGAUUUCCAUGUCAUUAAUGGGGUCCUUCGCACUGCUCACUCUUUGUUUAAAAGGUACCGCCAUGAAUUUAAGUCAAAUGAAUUAUGGACAGAGAUCAAACUUGUCCUUGAUGCCUUUGCUUUGCCCUUGACAAAUCUUUUUAAGGCAACUAUUGAACUUUGCAGCACACAUGCAAAUGACGCUAGUGCUUUGAAGGUUCUCUUUUCUUCUCUCAUUCUAAUUGCGAAGCUGUUCUACAGUUUAAAUUUUCAGGAUCUUCCUGAGUUUUUUGAAGAUAAUAUGGAAACAUGGAUGACAAAUUUUCAUAGUCUUUUAACUUUAGAUAAUAAACUUUUGCAGACUGAUGAUGAAGAGGAAGCUGGAUUACUGGAGCUCUUGAAAUCACAAAUUUGUGAUAAUGCUGCUUUAUAUGCUCAAAAAUAUGAUGAAGAAUUCCAGCCCUACCUGCCACGUUUCGUAACAGCAAUCUGGAAUCUGUUAGUCACAACAGGCCAGGAAGUGAAAUAUGACUUGCUGGUUAGUAAUGCAAUCCAGUUUCUGGCCUCAGUUUGUGAGAGACCACAUUACAAGCAUCUGUUUGAAGACCAGAAUACAUUGACAAGCAUCUGUGAAAAAGUUAUUGUUCCCAAUAUGGAAUUUAGAGCGGCUGAUGAAGAAGCAUUUGAAGAUAAUUCUGAAGAAUAUAUAAGAAGGGAUUUGGAAGGAUCUGAUAUUGACACCAGGCGCAGAGCAGCUUGUGAUCUAGUCAGAGGCCUGUGCAAAUUUUUUGAAGGACCUGUGACAGGGAUUUUUUCUGGAUAUGUUAAUUCUAUGCUGCAAGAAUAUGCAAAGAAUCCAUCUGUUAACUGGAAGCACAAAGAUGCAGCUAUUUACCUUGUUACGUCUUUGGCAUCGAAAGCUCAAACACAGAAGCAUGGGAUAACACAAGCCAACGAACUUGUUAAUCUGACAGAAUUCUUUGUGAAUCACAUUCAACCUGACUUAAAGUCUGCUAGUGUGAAUGAAUUCCCUGUGUUAAAAGCAGAUGGUAUCAAAUAUAUCAUGAUUUUUAGAAACCAAGUACCUAAAGAACAACUGUUGGUAUCUAUUCCUCUCUUAAUCAAUCAUCUUCAAGCAGAAAGUAUUGUGGUCCAUACUUACGCAGCCCAUGCUCUUGAAAGACUGUUUACCAUGAGGGGCACAAAUAAUACUACCCUCAUUACAGCUGCAGAAAUGGCACCAUUUGUGGAAGUGCUAUUAACAAACCUUUUUAAAGCACUGACUCUUCCUGGCUCAUCUGAAAAUGAGUACAUUAUGAAAGCCAUCAUGAGGAGUUUUUCUCUGCUACAGGAAUCCAUAAUUCCAUACAUCCCUUCUGUCAUCACACAGCUUACACAGAAACUGCUGGCUGUCAGUAAGAAUCCAAGCAAACCUCACUUUAACCAUUACAUGUUUGAAUCAAUAUGCUUGUCGAUAAGGAUAACGUGCAAAGCAAACCCUGAUGCAGUUGGAAGCUUUGAAGAGGCUUUGUUUAUGGUGUUCACUGAGAUACUACAGAAUGAUGUGCAAGAGUUCAUUCCAUAUGUGUUUCAAGUGAUGUCCCUACUUCUAGAAAUGCAUAAAAAUGAAAUCCCAUCAUCGUAUAUGGCAUUGUUUCCUCAUCUACUUCAGCCAGUGUUAUGGGAAAGGACAGGAAACAUUCCUCCUUUGGUCCGACUCCUGCAGGCUUAUUUAGAGCGGGGUGCCAAUACAAUAGCAAGUGCUGCUGCUGACAAAAUUCCUGGAUUGUUAGGUGUGUUCCAGAAGUUGAUUGCCUCUAAAGCUAAUGACCAUCAAGGAUUCUAUCUUCUAAACAGUAUUAUAGAGCAUAUGCCUCCUGAAUCAGUUGACCAGUACAGGAAACAGAUCUUCAUUCUGCUAUUCCAAAGACUUCAAAAUUCCAAAACAACAAAAUUUAUUAAAAGUUUCCUAGUCUUCAUUAACUUGUACUGCAUAAAAUAUGGGGCAUUAGCUCUGCAGGAAAUAUUUGACAGCAUACAGCCCAAGAUGUUUGGAAUGGUUUUGGAGAAAAUUAUAAUUCCUGAAAUCCAGAAAGUGUCUGGACAAGUUGAAAAGAAAAUAUGUGCUGUUGGCAUUACAAAAAUAUUAACAGAAUGCCCUCCUAUGAUGGACACUGAGUACACCAAGCUGUGGACUCCUUUGCUGCAGGCCCUCAUUGGCCUCUUUGAACUGCCUGAGGAUGACACCAUCCCUGAUGAAGAACACUUCAUUGACAUAGAAGAUACUCCAGGAUAUCAGACUGCAUUCUCUCAGCUAGCCUUCGCUGGAAAAAAAGAACAUGAUCCUGUAGGUCAAAUGGUGAACAAUCCUAGAAUCCAUCUGGCACAGUCUCUUCACAAACUGUCUACAGCGUGCCCAGGCAGGGUUCCAUCAAUGCUGAGUACUAGUCUGAAUGCAGAAGCGUUGCAGUAUCUCCAAGGAUACCUCCAAGCUGCAAGUGUGACACUGCUCUGAAUUGCAUAUAUUCCACAAGCAAGAUCAAAAGCUGUUUUGUUAUACAGAAGUUACUUGUCCACAGAAAUUCUGCAGAUGACUUGAAUUGGGACUGGUUUUUCGUAGGUAGAAUGCCUGUUGAAGCUGGGCCUUGUAUCAAGAAAGUUACUGAAUUUACUGAGAUGGGGCAGAAUCAGCUGUCUUUCAGUUCCUCCUUAGUGUCUGUGGCUGCCAUGUGAGAGUGCAUGCUGGCCAUAUCUCUUUAUAUAUAUAAAGAAAUGAGUUGCUUGUUAGACAAUGGAUUUAAAAUACUAAGUGCCUAAAAAUGUAUUAAAUGAGUCAGCAUCAACAGGUUUUCUUGAAUCUGGUCUGUCAUGCAGUGCCAGACCCUCUUUGUUCAUAGGUAUGAAGUGAAAGCAGUUCUCAAGAGUGAAAUAAUGCAGUGGUGAUCGUGAAAAGCAUCUGCCUUAAUGCUGGUGGGAGAGACUGAUGUGUUUUACAAGUUUGCCGAAGCGCCUUGGAGAAUGAAUUUCAAUAGACAGGCUAAAACCACGUGGGAGAUGUGUGACAUUUGCAAGGAACUGAAUGCCUACCUCGAAUGUCAGUGUUAAUUGAGCUGUGGUCAUUCAAAACCUGCAGGCCAAAAGGAUACUCAGAACUCCGUCUGCUCUGCAGCUUUGUCUUUUUUUCCUUGGAUAACAGGGAGAAUAAUUCUACAAAGAAUUUAGAGACCUUUCUUUCCUGUCAGCCUCAGAGAACCAAAAUUAAAUUGGUACUGUUGGUCAUGUAACAGUAAUUUGACAUGCUGCCUUUGCAUCUAUUCAAGUAGACAGGCUAUUAUGCAUGUAUGCUAGAUAACCUCGUGCUGAAAUGGGGUUCUUCAGCACUAUGUAAUAUUAAGGGGCUCAUAUCAGACCAUCUUAGUUCUGCAGUUCUAAGCAAGAUUUCUUUAGGGGACAGGUUGCUGAGAUAUGUAAGUACGUGAACAGAUGUUUUGUAUCUUACCAGUACCAACGGAGAUGGAGCUGGACGGGAUUUACAGCAACAAACCAGAACCUUUUUGAGAAGUAGCCAAAGAAAAAUUGGCUCUUCUGAACAGAAAAUUAUCAGUGAAUCUUCACAUUCUCUUUCUUGCACUUCCUGCAACGUGUGACUUUUUGUUGUUGGACAGACAUUCCGUGUGAGUAAGUGCCUAAGUGACUUCAGAUCAACAAAUACUAGUGGCAUACUUGUCCUUCAGUUCACUCAGAGUAACGUAGACUUUGUAGACAUGGCUGUGGCUGUGGCACUGCUCGUGACAUGUUAUUUAGUCCUGACAUUUUCUGCAGAUUUUAUAAGGCAUGCAAGUGUUUAUAUAGAGCACUUACCCUUUCAGGGAAAUGAACUUUUCAAGUGUAGUGCAGGCAAGCAGAUGCAUCUCUGAUUCAGAGUACCGGCAAAUGUUACUGGCAAUGCCCUCACCUUCAUUUAGGUGGAGACCUAAAUUGCUACUUCUGACACCUCCAGUUCUCAAGAUUCAGAAGGCAACACAAUGUUCCAAACUAUAUUUAACUGUUAAGUUAGUGGAAACUGAUGCAAGCAAUGUCGUAACAGUUUUUUUGCAAGAUCGUUGAACUUCUCUAGGCCCCCCCCCCUUCGGUGCAUCCCUUGUUAAACAGUUAGGCAAACACCAGUUUCUUUAGAAAGCUCAGCCUGGAAACACCUGGUGUCAAUGGAUCUUCUGAGGACUUGGGGGCAUCUAGUUCAAUUUUUGACAAUUAACUCCUGCCCAUCACCUGAGGUCUUCUGAAACACUUCUGAAAAUAAGUAGCCAAUUUUCCCUUGCAACUGAUAAUGGUAGAAGAUUGUUCAAACUCAAGGACAAAAAGAUUACUUGCUCCUUUUUGAGUAUGAAAUGGGAAAAAGGACAUCUGGUUUGGGAUUGUUUGACACCACAGAACUCUGAUCUACUCUCCUUUUUUGGACCCUACUGAAUGACUUGUGGUUGUCAGCUUCUAAAUUAUGUUCCGAGGCUUUUGUAGCAGAAGAAAUACCUUGUUGUUGGUUUAAGGAGGAAAAACCAAAACAAAACCCCACCACUUUCAAGACCAGUAUAUAUUCCUGUUUUCUUGGGUUGUGAAUGAGCUACAGUAG
RNA transcript from Egretta garzetta (little egret), 5143 nucleotides. It is a transcript of the gene named chromosome segregation 1 like, with no coding region annotated. Lineage: Eukaryota; Metazoa; Chordata; Aves; Pelecaniformes; Ardeidae. The record is from RefSeq and is a predicted model, not a curated record. The transcript has 26 exons.